UACGGGGGGGGCAAGCGUUGUUCGGAAUUACUGGGCGUAAAGGGCUCGUAGGCGGCCAACUAAGUCAGACGUGAAAUCCCUCGGCUUAACCGGGGAACUGCGUCCGAUACUGGUGGGCUUGAAUCCGGGAGAGGGAUGUGGAAUUCCAGGUGUAGCGGUGAAAUGCGUAGAUAUCUGGAGGAACACCGGUGGCGAAGGCGGCAUCCUGGACCAGCACUGACACUGAGGCACGAAAGCGUGGGGAGCAAACAGG
Molecule: ribosomal RNA, 253 nt
Filed under: uncultured bacterium
Lineage: Bacteria
Description: partial 16S ribosomal RNA
Rfam family: Bacterial small subunit ribosomal RNA
Source: RNAcentral